CUACCCAUGCCGGCCCGUGAUUCUUGUACAUGUGCUGCACUUUAUACACUUGCAGAAAAUAGGGUUGGCCGUGCGCAAGAGCAAGAACAGGACACCCUAGUGACUUUGUUCCGAGCUAUGCGUCCGGGAGGAAGCAAGGAAUGGCGAAACUUUCAGCUGGUCUCUUGGUUUAAUUGAAAUUAGGCGAACGGUACGGUUGCCUAAUAUGUGAUGUGGAUCAUGAAGUUAUUUGGAGUAUCUAUCUAAUCUCACUUAACAAAGAAAAAGCUUUGCACUCACAUGUGCAAUUGCUUCCAGUGAUACGGUCCAGUAGUUGUCACCCAACAUUUAAUUCUUGAUGAUUAAUGCCGAUAAGAGGUCAUGGGAUCAUAUUCCACAAAAACCUUAAAUGUAAAGUUUACCUAA
Molecule: long non-coding RNA, 405 nt
Organism: Panicum virgatum (switchgrass)
Lineage: Eukaryota; Viridiplantae; Streptophyta; Magnoliopsida; Poales; Poaceae
Exons: 2
Source: RefSeq, a predicted model, not a curated record